GGUUAAGCGACUAAGCGUACACGGUGGAUGCCCUGGCAGUCAGAGGCGAUGAAGGACGUGCUAAUCUGCGAUAAGCGUCGGUAAGGUGAUAUGAACCGUUAUAACCGGCGAUUUCCGAAUGGGGAAACCCAGUGUGUUUCGACACACUAUCAUUAACUGAAUCCAUAGGUUAAUGAGGCGAACCGGGGGAACUGAAACAUCUAAGUACCCCGAGGAAAAGAAAUCAACCGAGAUUCCCCCAGUAGCGGCGAGCGAACGGGGAGCAGCCCAGAGCCUGAAUCAGUGUGUGUGUUAGUGGAAGCGUCUGGAAAGGCGCGCGAUACAGGGUGACAGCCCCGUACACAAAAAUGCACAUGCUGUGAGCUCGAUGAGUAGGGCGGGACACGUGGUAUCCUGUCUGAAUAUGGGGGGACCAUCCUCCAAGGCUAAAUACUCCUGACUGACCGAUAGUGAACCAGUACCGUGAGGGAAAGGCGAAAAGAACCCCGGCGAGGGGAGUGAAAAAGAACCUGAAACCGUGUACGUACAAGCAGUGGGAGCACGCUUAGGCGUGUGACUGCGUACCUUUUGUAUAAUGGGUCAGCGACUUAUAUUCUGUAGCAAGGUUAACCGAAUAGGGGAGCCGAAGGGAAACCGAGUCUUAACUGGGCGUUAAGUUGCAGGGUAUAGACCCGAAACCCGGUGAUCUAGCCAUGGGCAGGUUGAAGGUUGGGUAACACUAACUGGAGGACCGAACCGACUAAUGUUGAAAAAUUAGCGGAUGACUUGUGGCUGGGGGUGAAAGGCCAAUCAAACCGGGAGAUAGCUGGUUCUCCCCGAAAGCUAUUUAGGUAGCGCCUCGUGAAUUCAUCUCCGGGGGUAGAGCACUGUUUCGGCAAGGGGGUCAUCCCGACUUACCAACCCGAUGCAAACUGCGAAUACCGGAGAAUGUUAUCACGGGAGACACACGGCGGGUGCUAACGUCCGUCGUGAAGAGGGAAACAACCCAGACCGCCAGCUAAGGUCCCAAAGUCAUGGUUAAGUGGGAAACGAUGUGGGAAGGCCCAGACAGCCAGGAUGUUGGCUUAGAAGCAGCCAUCAUUUAAAGAAAGCGUAAUAGCUCACUGGUCGAGUCGGCCUGCGCGGAAGAUGUAACGGGGCUAAACCAUGCACCGAAGCUGCGGCAGCGACGCUGAUGCGUUGUUGGGUAGGGGAGCGUUCUGUAAGCCUGCGAAGGUGUGCUGUGAGGCAUGCUGGAGGUAUCAGAAGUGCGAAUGCUGACAUAAGUAACGAUAAAGCGGGUGAAAAGCCCGCUCGCCGGAAGACCAAGGGUUCCUGUCCAACGUUAAUCGGGGCAGGGUGAGUCGACCCCUAAGGCGAGGCCGAAAGGCGUAGUCGAUGGGAAACAGGUUAAUAUUCCUGUACUUGGUGUUACUGCGAAGGGGGGACGGAGAAGGCUAUGUUGGCCGGGCGACGGUUGUCCCGGUUUAAGCGUGUAGGCUGGUUUUCCAGGCAAAUCCGGAAAAUCAAGGCUGAGGCGUGAUGACGAGGCACUACGGUGCUGAAGCAACAAAUGCCCUGCUUCCAGGAAAAGCCUCUAAGCAUCAGGUAACAUCAAAUCGUACCCCAAACCGACACAGGUGGUCAGGUAGAGAAUACCAAGGCGCUUGAGAGAACUCGGGUGAAGGAACUAGGCAAAAUGGUGCCGUAACUUCGGGAGAAGGCACGCUGAUAUGUAGGUGAAGUCCCUCGCGGAUGGAGCUGAAAUCAGUCGAAGAUACCAGCUGGCUGCAACUGUUUAUUAAAAACACAGCACUGUGCAAACACGAAAGUGGACGUAUACGGUGUGACGCCUGCCCGGUGCCGGAAGGUUAAUUGAUGGGGUCAGCGCAAGCGAAGCUCUUGAUCGAAGCCCCGGUAAACGGCGGCCGUAACUAUAACGGUCCUAAGGUAGCGAAAUUCCUUGUCGGGUAAGUUCCGACCUGCACGAAUGGCGUAAUGAUGGCCAGGCUGUCUCCACCCGAGACUCAGUGAAAUUGAACUCGCUGUGAAGAUGCAGUGUACCCGCGGCAAGACGGAAAGACCCCGUGAACCUUUACUAUAGCUUGACACUGAACAUUGAGCCUUGAUGUGUAGGAUAGGUGGGAGGCUUUGAAGUGUGGACGCCAGUCUGCAUGGAGCCGGCCUUGAAAUACCACCCUUUAAUGUUUGAUGUUCUAACGUGGACCCGUAAUCCGGGUUGCGGACAGUGUCUGGUGGGUAGUUUGACUGGGGCGGUCUCCUCCUAAAGAGUAACGGAGGAGCACGAAGGUUGGCUAAUCCUGGUCGGACAUCAGGAGGUUAGUGCAAUGGCAUAAGCCAGCUUGACUGCGAGCGUGACGGCGCGAGCAGGUGCGAAAGCAGGUCAUAGUGAUCCGGUGGUUCUGAAUGGAAGGGCCAUCGCUCAACGGAUAAAAGGUACUCCGGGGAUAACAGGCUGAUACCGCCCAAGAGUUCAUAUCGACGGCGGUGUUUGGCACCUCGAUGUCGGCUCAUCACAUCCUGGGGCUGAAGUAGGUCCCAAGGGUAUGGCUGUUCGCCAUUUAAAGUGGUACGCGAGCUGGGUUUAGAACGUCGUGAGACAGUUCGGUCCCUAUCUGCCGUGGGCGCUGGAGAACUGAGGGGGGCUGCUCCUAGUACGAGAGGACCGGAGUGGACGCAUCACUGGUGUUCGGGUUGUCAUGCCAAUGGCACUGCCCGGUAGCUAAAUGCGGAAGAGAUAAGUGCUGAAAGCAUCUAAGCACGAAACUUGCCCCGAGAUGAGUUCUCCCUGACUCCUUGAGAGUCCUGAAGGAACGUUGAAGACGACGACGUUGAUAGGCCGGGUGUGUAAGCGCAGCGAUGCGUUGAGCUAACCGGUACUAAUGAACCGUGAGGCUUAACCUU
Molecule: ribosomal RNA, 2904 nt
Filed under: Escherichia coli
Lineage: Bacteria; Pseudomonadati; Pseudomonadota; Gammaproteobacteria; Enterobacterales; Enterobacteriaceae
Description: 23S ribosomal RNA
Rfam family: Bacterial large subunit ribosomal RNA
Source: RNAcentral